Molecule: ribosomal RNA, 301 nt
Filed under: uncultured bacterium
Lineage: Bacteria
Description: partial 16S ribosomal RNA
Rfam family: Bacterial small subunit ribosomal RNA
Source: RNAcentral
CAGUAGCCGCGGGAAUACGAAGGGUGCGAGCGUUAAUCGGAAUUACUGGGCGUAAAGCGUGCGUAGGCGGUUUGUUAAGUCUGUUGUGAAAUCCCCGGGCUCAACCUGGGAAUGGCAAUGGAUACUGGCAAGCUAGAGUGUGUCAGAGGAUGGUGGAAUUCCCGGUGUAGCGGUGAAAUGCGUAGAGAUCGGGAGGAACAUCAGUGGCGAAGGCGGCCAUCUGGGACAACACUGACGCUGAGGCACGAAAGCGUGGGGAGCAAACAGGAUUAGAUACCCGUGUAGUCCCUGUCUCUUAUAC